RNAcentral lists this ribosomal RNA (460 nucleotides) under uncultured bacterium. RNAcentral describes it as "partial 16S ribosomal RNA". It matches the Rfam family "Bacterial small subunit ribosomal RNA", at positions 338 to 795 of the family's 1533-position model. The record is from RNAcentral.
CAGACGGGUGGCAGCAGGGAGGAAUAUGGGGCAAUGGGCGCUAGCCUGAACCAGCCAAGGAGCGUGAAGGAUGACUGCCCUAUGGGUUGUAAACUUCUUUUAUAUGGGAAUAAAGUGCAGUAUGUAUACUGCUUUGCAUGUACCUUAUGAAUAAGGAUCGGCUAACUCCGUGCCAGCAGCCGCGGUAAUACGGAGGAUCGGAGGGUUAUCCGGAUUUAUUGGGUUUAAAGGGAGCGUAGGCGGGUUGUUAAGUCAGUUGUGAAAGUUUGCGGCUCAACCGUAAAAUUGCAGUGGAUACUGGCAUCCUUGAGUACAGUAGAGGUAGGCGGAAUUCGCGGUGUAGCGGGGAAAUGCUUAGAUAUCACGAAGAACUCCGAUUGCGAAGGCAGCCUGCUGGACUGUAACUGACGCUGAUGCUCGAAAGUGUGGGUAUCAAACAGGAUUAGAUACCCUUGUAGUC